AUGUUACUUCCUAUUUAUAUAGUUGAAAGUUAUUUUUUCCCGGGAUGUUUUAAAGAAAUUAAUGCGCAUAGUGUAUAUGAAGAAAACUCAGCCGAAAAAAAAGAAUUUGAUGUAAAUGGUGGUGAACAUAUAGGCGAACAAGGAACUGACGCCGAACCAACUGAAAACACGAAAGAUAUAAAAUUUAAACUUUAUUAUACAUUACCUGUACAUACAAAUUUAAAAUAUAUAGUAAAUUUUAGUUUAACUAAUAGUAGUAACAUUACAAAAACUGAUAGCGUUGAUAGUACAAACAAAAGUCUUAUCGGUAGCUGCAGUCACAUUAGUAGUGGCAGUCUCAUUAGUAGUGGCAGUCUCAUUAGUAGUGGCAGUCACAUUAGUAGUGGUAGUCACAUCUUCAGCAGUAAAGACAACAUCAACAAUCGCAAUAAUCAAAAAAAAACUAGCGAAAAAAAGGACAUUGUGAUAAAAACACAGUGCUCUAUGUUAAGCACGAUUAAAAAUAGAAAACAAAUAAAUUAUGACUUCUUUAAUUAUACUAUUCAAAAUCAAAACAUGGAUAAUGAUAAUAACAAUGUUGCUAGUUUAACGUUAAACGAAAAAAUAAAAAACGAUUUUAUAGAUUUUGUUUUAAAUUUUGAUUGCAUUAAUUUUUUUCGUAUCACAAAAUAUUUUAUAAAAUUAAGUAAACUGAUUUGUGAAAUUAAAAAAAAUAUUUUAAUUUUGUUACAAAAAAAAAACUUAAAAUGUUUAAAACAUAAUGAUACUAUAAAUAUUAAAGAACAAGUUGAAAUUCAUUCUUAUGAUGACCCCAAAAAAUUGGAAGAAAAAAAAAAAGAUGCAUUAAAAACAGUUUUAAUGGUUCCUUCGUUAGAUAAUUUAUCUCUUGGGGGAAAUGAGUUUAACACAUUUGAAAGUGAGGAGACGACCAAACAGGGUACUCCAGAUUGUGAACAUAAAUACAAUCAGGAUAAACCGAAUCAACAAAAUGGACAAGACCGCCACCAGUUAUAUUUAAAUAACCUUCUUAUCGAGAAACUAAAUUUACGCAUUUUUAAGGAAAAAUUAACAAAUGUAAAAGAAUUACAUUUAAAAAAUAACAACAUAAAUAAUUUAAACACAUUUUUCCAAGGUAUUAACAACUGUGAUUUAGUUAAUUUGGAGUAUAUAGAUGUGUCCUUUAAUUGCAUUUAUGAUAUAAGUCCUAUAUAUAAUAAAUUUAAAAAUUUACUUUAUUUUGAUAUAUCUUUUAAUUUUUUAUAUGAUUAUAAACAAAUAAUAGAAUUUAGUUUAAAUCAUAAAAAAUUAGAACAUUUAAAUAUUUUAUGUAAUUCUAUAUAUAUAACCUUUACACAUUUUUCAAACAUACAUUUGUUUUAUCCUCGUAUAAAAACAUUCAAUCAAAAAAAAGUCAUAAUUAAAAAUAGUGAAUUUAUUUUGCUCCCUCAUUUGUUACUUCCUGUGCAUAAUGAGAAAACCCAAAUGGAUAACAUUCAGUUGGUAGUA
This 1506-nucleotide long non-coding RNA is filed under the name Piliocolobus tephrosceles (Ugandan red Colobus). Its description in RNAcentral is "lncRNA (ENSPTEG00000006696.1)". Lineage: Eukaryota; Metazoa; Chordata; Mammalia; Primates; Cercopithecidae. The record is from RNAcentral.